CCUACGGGAGGCUGCAGUGAGGAAUAUUGGUCAAUGGGCGUAAGCCUGAACCAGCCAUCCCGCGUGAAGGAAGAAGGCGCUAUGCGUCGUAAACUUCUUUUCCAGAGGAAUAAAAUUUCGUACGUGUACGGAACUGAAGGUACUUUGGGAAUAAGCAUCGGCUAACUCCGUGCCAGCAGCCGCGGUAAUACGGAGGAUGCGAGCGUUAUCCGGAUGUAUUGGUUCGAAAGGGUACGAAGAAGGAAUUGGAGAAAACCUGCAGCUUAACUGGAGAACUGCCAUUGAUACUGUUAGUCUUGAGUACGGUCAAGGUAGGCGGAAUGUGUAAUGUAGCGGUGAAAUGCUUAGAUAUUACACAGAACACCGAUUGCGAAGGCAGCUUACUGGGCCAUUACUGACGCUGAUGCACGAAAGCGUGGGGAGCGAACAGGAUUAGAUACCCGAGUAGUC
This 450-nucleotide ribosomal RNA is filed under the name uncultured bacterium. RNAcentral describes it as "partial 16S ribosomal RNA". It matches the Rfam family "Bacterial small subunit ribosomal RNA", at positions 338 to 795 of the family's 1533-position model. The record is from RNAcentral.